ACGUUUACUUUGCUUCACUUUUCGUCGCCUCGUCAAUUGUCAUUCGUGACAAUAUCGUCAAUGAUAAACGGAUUCCUACUGGAUCGCCUCUCUUGGAUUCCUCAGCACGCUGUUCAGAAGCCUCUCUCCGCUGGUAUGCAGGUUCUGCUUCCUCGGGCACACCACGUGUAUUGACCCUUGCAUAAUGCCCUUAUUAAAUGCUUCAAAAAAGACGAACCAAUCAUUCCAGCUCCACAGGAGGAACUGGGUGCAGAGCCACCUGCACACAUUAGCAUUGCUGAAACGAAGUCUUUUGCAAUACUGACAUGGUGCUCCUUAUCGGAAGAGGAGCUAACCUGGGAUGAGUAAACACUGAUAAACAAA
Long non-coding RNA from Ixodes scapularis (black-legged tick), 363 nucleotides. RefSeq lists it as uncharacterized. The transcript is spliced from 2 exons. The record is from RefSeq and is a predicted model, not a curated record. NCBI's taxonomy places the organism in Eukaryota, Metazoa, Arthropoda, Arachnida, Ixodida, Ixodidae.